AUUUUGAUCUGGCUCAGGACGAACGCUGGCGUAGAGGUUUUUAAUCGGCUCAUGGAGCGCACUGAUGGGAUCCUUCUCCCAGACAUGACGAACGAUGAAGCCAUUCGCGGUGGAUUAGUGGCGAACGGGUGAGUAACAUCGUUGGCAAUCUGCCCUUCAUUAUGGGACAAGCCCUUGAACCGGGCUCUAAGAACAGGAUAUGAGUCUGGGAGGCAUCUCCCGGGCAGGAAAGCUCCGGCGGCGAAGGAUGAGCCCGCGGCCUAUGCAGUCUUGUAGGUGCGGUAAUGGUAUCCCACGUGGGAGGCGGGUAGCCCACAUGAGAGGUCGGCCGCCCACCAGGCUCCUGAGACACGCACCAGUAUCGUAUGGUAGGCAGCAGUGGGGAAUAUGGCGCAACGGGCGCAAGCGAGAGACAAAGGCGCUGGGUUAGGGAAGAUGGCUUUUCGGGGGUGAACAUGUUUCAGCAGGGAAGAAGGGACAGUGACGGUACCUGCCGAAGAAGCCCCGGCUAACUACGUGCCAGCAGCCGCGGUAAUACGUAGGGGGCAGAGCGUUGUCCGGAAUUAUUGGGCGUAAAGAGCUCGUAGGCGGCUCGUUACGUCGGAUGUGAAAGCCCCCGCGCUCAACGCCGGAGGGUGCAUCCGAUACUGGCGAGCUUGAGUGCGGAAGAGAAAGAUCGGAAAUUUCCUGGUGGUAGCGGGUGAAAUUGGCGCAGAAUAUGCUAGGAGGGAACACCAGGUGGGCGAAAGGCGACAUCUUCUGGUCCCGUUACGGACGCUGAAGGAGCGAAGGCGUGGGGAGCAGAACGGAAUUAGAUACCCUGGUAGUCCACGCCGUAAACGAUUGAGGGACUAGGGGUUGACGACUUCCCACCCUUUCGUGCGCCACAACUAACAUUUUACACUCCCCGCGGGGGGAGCACGGCGCGCGGGGUUAAAACUCAAAGGAAUUGACGGGGGCCCGACACAGCGCGAGGAACCUUGUGGUUUAAUUCAACGCAACGCAAAAAACCUUACCAGGGCUUGCACUCUACCCCACAAAGCUUUAGAUAUAGUGCCCCCCUUGUGGUCAGAAUACGACUGGUGCAUGGUUGUCGUCAGCUCGUCUCGUGAGAUGAUGGUGUAAGUCCCCCCGCGACCACAGCCCUCGUCGAGCGUAGCCGGCAUGACCUUCUUGGUGACGCUAACUCGACUGACACCGACGGAGCCAACUCAGAUGAGGAUGACGACGACUCCUCAUGAUCCUGCUGAUUAGGUCUAGGGCUGCGCUCGUGCGGCUGUGACCGGUACAUGCAGCAGCGAUACCGUGAGGCAAACCCAAUCUCCAUUCUCAGUCUCGAUUCCGAUUGGGGUCUCGCCCUCAUCACCAUGAAGUCGGAGUUGCUAGCAAACCCACAUGACGCUUGCUGCAGUGAAUACGUUCUCGGGCCUUCCGCACGCCGCCCGUCACGACACGAUAAUACCCGACGCCCGAGGCCUAUGGUCCUGCAGCUUGCGGCAUGGAGCUGUACGAAUGAUUACUGGCAUCGUACAGAUUCUCCCAAAAGGUCCCCCAAAAAUCCCCGU
RNAcentral lists this ribosomal RNA (1565 nucleotides) under Streptomyces brollosae. RNAcentral's name for it is "bacterial SSU rRNA". It matches the Rfam family "Bacterial small subunit ribosomal RNA". The record is from RNAcentral. Lineage: Bacteria; Bacillati; Actinomycetota; Actinomycetes; Kitasatosporales; Streptomycetaceae.